GACGAACGCUGGCGGCGUGCUUAACACAUGCAAGUCGAACGGAAAGGCCCUGCUUUUGUGGGGUGCUCGAGUGGCGAACGGGUGAGUAACACGUGAGUAACCUGCCCUUGACUUUGGGAUAACUUCAGGAAACUGGGGCUAAUACCGGAUAGGAGCUCCUGCUGCAGGGUGGGGGUUGGAAAGUUUCGGCGGGUGGGGAUGGACGCGCGGCUUAUCAGCUUGUUGGUGGGGGAGUGGCUUACCAAGGCUUUGACGGGUAGCCGGCCUGAGAGGGUGAACGGCCACAUUGGGACUGCGAUACGGCCCAGACUCCUACGGUAGGCAGCGGUGGGGAAUAUUGCCCAAUGGGCGGAAGCCUGAUGCAGCGACGCCGCGUGCGGGAUGACGGCCUUCGGGUUGUAAACCGCUUUCGCCUGUGACGAAGCGUGAGUGACGGUAAUGGGUAAAGAAGCACCGGCUAACUACGUG
RNAcentral lists this ribosomal RNA (468 nucleotides) under uncultured bacterium. Its description in RNAcentral is "partial 16S ribosomal RNA". It matches the Rfam family "Bacterial small subunit ribosomal RNA", at positions 28 to 507 of the family's 1533-position model. The record is from RNAcentral.